Molecule: long non-coding RNA, 1823 nt
Filed under: Numida meleagris (helmeted guineafowl)
Lineage: Eukaryota; Metazoa; Chordata; Aves; Galliformes; Numididae
Description: lncRNA (ENSNMEG00000021155.1)
Source: RNAcentral
UUCUGGCCUUGCUUCCCUGAAUGCUAGGCAGCUGUAAAGAACCAGUUGGACUUAGCAGCUGAAGUAAAACGAGAUGAAUGUAAGUCUGCUUUCUGGACUUCCUUUACAUGCAAUGAAGCUAACUAGUCCUUCCCUAUCUGUCCGUGGGGGUUGGAAGGAUUCAUGUGCUAAUUAUUAGCAUGCUCUGAUGCUGAAGGCCAUACAAUCCUGACUGUUAGCAGCUCCGUCUACUCGAGAAGGCAACCAAGGAAAUGAGUCCACUGACUCCUACACCCUUAUGGUUUGGUACAUGUACCUGUCCUCUCAGUGACACGGCUGGUUCCGAUCACCAAAAUGAUGCGUACACGCAUCUUUUGUGAGACAGUAUUUCUCUUUUGUGUAGAGAAUGAAGUCUGCUGGGGAAGACACGACAAAGCUGUAUGUGUAGAAAGAGUCCAGAAGAGAGAAUUAAUUACUAAUCUCAAUUACAUUAGGGAACAGGCAGGGUUUGCUCUGCCCACUGCAUCAUAAUUAUUGCACGCUGCAAACUGAAGGUUGUAUCAGACAUCAUUUGGGGGAUCUGCAAAGAUUAAGAAGAGCAGAAAGACAGCGACCGAAUCCUACCUGAGCAAUGAAAAAACUUAUUGGAGGGUGCGAAAGUGCUUCAGAGUCCCUCUGCCUUGGCAUCCAGCAAGUGACGACCAUGGAGAACAAAUCACUUCUGGCAAGUGGGAUGUCUUGGCCAGUCAGAAGAAGCAUCAAAGGAAGAGAAGAAUGGGACGCAACACAACUGAAUUUAAUCAGGUGUAACAGUCAAGUUCCUCUAGAGAGGCCUACUGUCUGAUAGACCAUCGUAAAUACAUUAGGGACCUGGAUUAAGAGAAUAGAAAACAAACAAGAGAAUGGUAUAAAGGUGCUCAGGGCACUUAGAGGCGUAACUGAUAAAUCUUUUAUCGGUUGGCUCUGUGUCAACUGAUUACAGUACUAUGAUAAUAUUCCUCACAUUAAUGUCGUGCCCCAGUACCAUAACUUUGAUUUUUAAUGGGUGUUUCAAUAUCCACGUCCAUGCCCUUUGCUGGUUUCAGCAGUCACAGCUCCUCAGAUCACACUGCACUCCCAUUUACCAUUAGUAACAAGGAUACUAAAUCCAUCAUAAGGAUGAGUGUGCUUGCAUUCUUACAGCCACUGAGGAGAGGAUGCUCUCUUACUUCAAGCCAGUUCAGCUCUGAGGUGGUCUGAAUUGCUCUGGAGAUGCCAAUUUUUCCCUCCUGCCUGUCAAAGAGGCCAAGGUGGCUAUUCCCUGGGCCAAGCAGAGGGAAGAUGCCUGAACUGAUGCAAUACAUCUGGAGAAAAACAGCUUGGGCAAAUGCCUCUUGACGAGAUGGUUCUUGAAAUUACUUUCCUCUGAAAAUUGCUGACUCAUUUCACUAAAUUUGGGGCCAGCGGAUGUAUGGAAUUUAUUAUUUUGUAGGAAACAAAUGCUUUCCUUCAGCUAUUAUAACACUAUAUCAUGUACUAUUUAAAAUAUCAUCUCACAUAACCUCUAGGUUUAGAUUAAAUUACAUAAAUAUCCAAACGAGAAAGUCAAACUCAAAAUUUUGAUAUGAUCAUUUCAAUAUUUCUGAAACCAAGUAUUUUAGAAUAUCCAUGCGGUGACACGUUUCAAAAUGAUGGCUCUCUCUUCCAAUUAGAAAUGAAAACAUUUGUAACGUCUGAGUUGCUUUCCGAACAUGAAUAGCUUGAGCUGCAAUGGUUGCAGGAGCUGCACAGUUGGGAUUGCUGUUUAGACUGCUGUAACAAUUGAUUCUGUACAUUUUGUUUUGGUUCCGGUAGCACACAGGGGC